ACAGAUGAACUGAUGAUAUGCAGCUGGCUAGGCAUUCGAGUUAAAUGGAGUGGUUCGAGCUCUUUAUAGUGUAUGUUCCUGGCAUUUACAAGUGAAAUUUUAUCAAUGGAGUAUUGGAGUAUAUCAUCAGUUCUUAAUUUUUAAUCUUUGGAAAAAGAUACACUUCAGAAUUUAAUGUUAUGUUUUAGGAUCAUGCACUGACAUGCUCAAAUGCACGCUAAAGCAGCAUAGAAAGAACAGUUUCCAUGUGUACUAAAACUUCCUCUCACCAUUUGCCAAUUGUCAUCUUUUUAAGGGUAACCAUGACCACAUCACCAGAUUAGGCAAGUGAAGGCUUUGCUUCCAUACGAAGACAAAUUGCCAAUUGCCAUCCCGCCAAGAGCAACCUCGACCAGGUCCCCAGACUAGGCAAGUGAAAGUGUUGCUUACAUAUAUGUAGAGAAAUAAUGGCACAACAUCUAGCAAGUGCUACUGGUAGUGGAGUUUCCCAAAAGUUAUGCCAAACUUUUAUAAUAUUUAAAUGGAUAUAAGAGCAUCUCUGAAUUUCACAAUGCAAACAAGAAUGUGCAGAAAAUGAUUAUGGAACUCUGCAUUUGGUUCUUCCCUUGAAGAUGCCCAGCAGUGAUGGUCAGAAAAGUGAUUGUGGUGCUAUGAAACAAAAUGGUGACACGCUGCAUGUUUAGCUGUGACUGAACUCAUGGCCAGGAAGUGUUCUAAUGCCAUGCUUCAAGGGGCAUGCAUAGACCACCAGUGGACAGGAAACUUCCCUCAGUUGGUCACUUUCUAGUUUGUUGCUUGCUAGCCAUGGUACAUCAUAAAUGAGGCAUGCUGUUGUUACAUCUUGAUUGAUCCUUAGCUGAAGAGGUAAGAUGAGUCCAAAGGCUAUUUUUGCGGAUACAACUGGGACUUCUAAUAGGGCCGACAUACUCAAAUGAUAAUUGUUCGGAUGGAAAGUCAUUGCUCACUGAAAAUUGAGGUAAACCUGUUAUUGUUAUUGAUAUGGAGGCAAGGUUCAGUGAUUUCAAUAACCAGCAACUGAAUGGCUCUACUGCUUUGCAUGAUUUGUGUGUUCGCUAUGACUUUGCCUUCCCUGGUGGCCUUCCGUGAUGUGCAUGUACAAUUAUUUCUUCGCAUGAACUGAUCACCACAUGUUCACGUCCGGAAGCAAUUAUGUGUUAGUGCAAAACUCAGACGUGUUAGCUGGAUCUUCAUGCUUGCUCUGCCUGUUGACUAGUCAGUAACUCGAUAAAUUGUGGAACGCCUUUUAAAGACCUCAACAAAAUAUACCAAGUGAUGCAGGCAACUAUCACAAAGAUGAUGUUACACCCGAGCGGUGAGAAUACCAAAUUCUGCACCAACGACCCUCUCUUGCCUUUUGUGCUCGCAUCGGUGGUUUUAGUAUCUCCAUUGGGUGGUGCAAAUGUUGCUGAUGAUGGCAAAUACCUGAGACCAAGAAGCAAAUUGUCGCACAUGAAUUUGAGAUUCCAAAGCAAGGGACAUGAGCGAGCAGUCGAUGGAAUUCUCCCCAGAGUGCCUCGCAUUCACCACCAUGAAGAAUGCAUUGACAGUCUUCUGAUAAGAGCUGAGCCCAUCAAACACUGAAGAGUUCCA
This is a long non-coding RNA of Aegilops tauschii subsp. strangulata, 1611 nucleotides long. RefSeq lists it as uncharacterized. Lineage: Eukaryota; Viridiplantae; Streptophyta; Magnoliopsida; Poales; Poaceae. The record is from RefSeq and is a predicted model, not a curated record.